RNAcentral lists this RNase P RNA (399 nucleotides) under Candidatus Omnitrophota bacterium. Its description in RNAcentral is "RNase P RNA component class A". It matches the Rfam family "Bacterial RNase P class A". From Rfam's summary of the family: Ribonuclease P (RNase P) is a ubiquitous endoribonuclease, found in archaea, bacteria and eukarya as well as chloroplasts and mitochondria. Its best characterised activity is the generation of mature 5'-ends of tRNAs by cleaving the 5'-leader elements of precursor-tRNAs. Cellular RNase Ps are ribonucleoproteins. The record is from RNAcentral. Lineage: Bacteria; Pseudomonadati; Candidatus Omnitrophota.
GCAGGCAGAAUGUGGCUGCUCUGUAUCCAAUUGUCGGAUGCGGGGAGGAAAGUCCGGGCUCCAGAGGAUAACGUAACGGGUAAUUCCCGUCUCGUAUAUGUAAUGUAUACGAAGGAUUUUCCGUUAAAGUUUAACGGAACCGACACGAUUUGUGGCGGAAGAGCCACAGAGACGAGUAGCAGCUUGAAAAAGCUGCGAGGUGAAACGCGGCAAUCUCUACGUGGAGCAAGGUAGAAUAGGAGAUGAGUGCUGAUCCAGCGCGAUUCCUGUUUUUAAACAGGAGAUAAUCUCGGGUAAACUGCUAAAGUUACCGUGGUAACGCGGGAAUUGAGAGGAAUAGCCACUAAUCGAUGCGCGAAUUCGCAUCAAGACAGAACCCGGCUUAUUCUGCCUGCUUUU